Molecule: ribosomal RNA, 429 nt
Filed under: uncultured soil bacterium
Lineage: Bacteria
Description: bacterial SSU rRNA
Rfam family: Bacterial small subunit ribosomal RNA
Source: RNAcentral
AGAUUGAACGCUGGCGGCAUACUUAACACAUGCAAGUCGAACGGCAGCACAGCCAAGCUUGCUUGGUGGGUGGCGAGUGGCGGACGGGUGAGGAAUACGUCGGAAUCUGCCCUGUUGUGGGGGAUAACGUAGGGAAACUUACGCUAAUACCGCAUAAGACGGUGACGUGAAAGCGGGGGCUCCGUAAGGACCUCGCGCGAUGGGAUGAGCCGACGUCGGAUUAGCUUGUUGGUGGGGUAAAGGCCUACCAAGGCGACGAUCCGUAGCUGGUCUGAGAGGAUGAUCAGCCACACUGGGACUGAGACACGGCCCAGACUCCUACGGGAGCAGCAGUGGGGAAUAGUUGGACAAGUGGGCGACAAGCCUGAUCCAGCAAGUGCCGCGUGGUGUAGAAGAACGGUCCGUUUCGGUUAGUAAACGCUACUUUUA